CAAAGCUAAUACCCAAAGUCUUUGAAGGAGCCAACAGAGUGAGAUGAAGGGGACAACUUCAGAUACUCAGGCAGAAGCAUAAGUCCCCACCUGCUGACCUGCUGCCUGCUAUCUUAACACGAAUUCUUCAUCUGAAUGGAUGAGCUUUUCACAGAGCUGAAUGCACACCUGGCCCAAGAGCUGGAGAAGCUAAAGGCGGGACCAGGGAAAGGUGGAGCGGUUGCAGACUCAGCUGCUGGCCCACAUCAACAAGGUGAGCCAGCAGAUCCUUCCACCCCACUUGCUGAUACAGCUUCAACAAAGAAGGGUGUUCACCAACUGACUACAAGAAUCAUUGCUAACCAGGGAUGACUCAUUCUCACAUCCAUCCUAAAUAGACUUCCUUGGAUACAAAAAAUCCAGAGUUUGCCGUAUCUCCAUGGACACUGUCAUUUAGACAGGACACUUACUUCUUGGGAAACUCACUUCCAUUUUCCUAAUAAGGUUCCCUUUGAAGACUAAGAAUUUCUCCAAGACAAAAUUCAUGUAAGCCAAA
This 535-nucleotide long non-coding RNA is filed under the name Homo sapiens (human). RNAcentral's name for it is "non-protein coding lnc-NWD2-2:1". Lineage: Eukaryota; Metazoa; Chordata; Mammalia; Primates; Hominidae. The record is from RNAcentral.